Molecule: ribosomal RNA, 535 nt
Filed under: Alteromonas sp.
Lineage: Bacteria; Pseudomonadati; Pseudomonadota; Gammaproteobacteria; Alteromonadales; Alteromonadaceae
Description: bacterial SSU rRNA
Rfam family: Bacterial small subunit ribosomal RNA
Source: RNAcentral
AGAUGUUUUUCCCUCAUGGUUCAGAAAGAACGCCGGCGGCAGGCUUAACACAUGCAAGUCGAACGGUAACAUUUUACUAGCUUGCUAGUAAGAUGACGAGUGGCGGACGGGUGAGUAAUGCUUGGGAACUUGCCUUUGCCGAGGGGGAUAACAGUUGGAAACGACUGCUAAUACCGCAUAAUGUCUUCGGACCAAACGGGGCUUAGGCUCCGGCGCAAAGAGAGGCCCAAGUGAGAUUAGCUAGUUGGUAAGGUAACGGCUUACCAAGGCGACGAUCUCUAGCUGUUCUGAGAGGAAGAUCAGCCACACUGGGACUGAGACACGGCCCAGACUCCUACGGGAGGCAGCAGUGGGGAAUAUUGCACAAUGGGGGAAACCCUGAUGCAGCCAUGCCGCGUGUGUGAAGAAGGCCUUCGGGUUGUAAAGCACUUUCAGUUGUGAGGAAAAGUUAGUAAAUAAUACCUGGUAACCGUGACGUUAACAACAGAAAAAGCGCCGGCUAAGUCCGUGCCCGCACCCGCGGGGAAAACUCAUG